RNAcentral lists this ribosomal RNA (497 nucleotides) under uncultured bacterium. Its description in RNAcentral is "partial 16S ribosomal RNA". It matches the Rfam family "Bacterial small subunit ribosomal RNA", at positions 28 to 507 of the family's 1533-position model. The record is from RNAcentral.
GACGAACGCUGGCGGCGUGCCUAAUACAUGCAAGUAGAACGCUGAAGAGAGGAGCUUGCUCUUCUUGGAUGAGUUGCGAACGGGUGAGUAACGCGUAGGUAACCUGCCUUGUAGCGGGGGAUAACUAUUGGAAACGAUAGCUAAUACCGCAUAACAAUGGAUGACACAUGUCAUUUAUUUGAAAGGGGCAAUUGCUCCACUACAGGAUGGACCUGCGUUGUAUUAGCUAGUAGGUGAGGUAAUGGCUCACCUAGGCGACGAUACAUAGCCGACCUGAGAGGGUGAUCGGCCACACUGGGACUGAGACACGGCCCAGACUCCUACGGGAGGCAGCAGUAGGGAAUCUUCGGCAAUGGGGGCAACCCUGACCGAGCAACGCCGCGUGAGUGAAGAAGGGUUUCGGAUCGUAAAGCUCUGUUGUAAGUCAAGAACGGGUGUGAGAGUGGAAAGUUCACACUGUGACGGUAGCUUACCAGAAAGGGACGGCUAACUACGUG